GUAGGGAAUAUUGGGCAAUGGUCGGAAGACUGACCCAGCCAUGCCGCGUGCAGGAAGACGGCCCUCUGGGUUGUAAACUGCUUUUAUCUGGGAAGAAAAAGGCCAUGCGUGGCAAAUUGCCGGUACCAGAUGAAUAAGCACCGGCUAACUCCGUGCCAGCAGCCGCGGUAAUACGGAGGGUGCGAGCGUUGUCCGGAUUUAUUGGGUUUAAAGGGUGCGUAGGCGGCUGAUUAAGUCAGCGGUGAAAGACUUCGGCUUAACCGGAGCAGUGCCGUUGAUACUGGGUGGCUUGAGUGUCGGAGGGGUACAUGGAAUUGAUGGUGUAGCGGUGAAAUGCAUAGAUACCAUCAGGAACACCGAUAGCGAAGGCAUUGUACUGGCCGACAACUGACGCUGAUGCACGAAAGUGUGGGGAUCGAGCAGGAUUAGAAACCCGAGUAGUCC
Molecule: ribosomal RNA, 444 nt
Filed under: uncultured bacterium
Lineage: Bacteria
Description: partial 16S ribosomal RNA
Rfam family: Bacterial small subunit ribosomal RNA
Source: RNAcentral